CGUAAACGAUGAAUGCUAAGUGUUGGAGGUUUCCCCUUCAGUGCUGCAGCUAACGCAUUAAGCAUUCCGCCUGGGGAGUACGGCCGCAAGGCUGAAACUCAAAGGAAUUGACGGGGGCCCGCACAGCGGUGGAGCAUGUGGUUUAAUUCGAGCUACGCGAAGAACCUUACCAGGUCUUGACAUACUAUGCAAAUCUAAGAGAUUAGACGUUCCCUUCGGGGACAUGGAUACAGGUGGUGCAUGGUUGUCGUCAGCUCGUGUCGUGAGAUGUUGGGUUAAGUCCCGCAACGAGCGCAACCCUUAUUAUCAGUUGCCAGCAUUAAGUUGGGCACUCUGGUGAGACUGCCGGUGACAAACCGGAGGAAGGUGGGGAUGACGUCAAAUCAUCAUGCCCCUUAUGACCUGGGCUACACACGUGCUACAAUGGAUGGUACAACGAGUUGCGAACUCGCGAGAGUAAGCUAAUCUCUUAAAGCCAUUCUCAGUUCGGAUUGUAGGCUGCAACUCGCCUACAUGAAGUCGGAAUCGCUAGUAAUCGCGGAUCAGCAUGCCGCGGUGAAUACGUUCCCGGGCCUUGUACACACCGCCCGUCACACCAUGAGAGUUUGUAACACCCAAAGUCGGUGGGGUAACCUUUAGGAACCAGCCGCCUAAGGUGGGACAGAUGAUUAGGGUGAAGUCGUAACAAGGUAACCA
RNAcentral lists this ribosomal RNA (696 nucleotides) under uncultured Lactobacillus sp. RNAcentral describes it as "bacterial SSU rRNA". It matches the Rfam family "Bacterial small subunit ribosomal RNA", at positions 801 to 1502 of the family's 1533-position model. The record is from RNAcentral. Lineage: Bacteria; Bacillati; Bacillota; Bacilli; Lactobacillales; Lactobacillaceae.